AAGUGCUUGAUUUCAUUUGCGACAUCUUCAAAACUUAAGCAAAGCCCACCCGUCGUUGCAGCCACGCACCUCUUCUCCCCUCCAAUCGCCUGUGAGCAUGAUAAGAACCUUCCAGAAACUUCUGCAACCAACCCGCGGACCCCACUGGGCUUCUACUCCCCUCCGCCGCUUCUGCGGCCGCGCCCCGGCCCCGCCUGCGCCCGCCGGCGGCGACAUCUUCCAAUGGAACUCCGCCAUCACCUCCCACCUCCGCGCCGGCAGGGUGGCCGCCGCGCGCCGACUGUUCGACGAAAUGCCUGAGCGGAACGUGUUCACGUGGAACUGCAUGCUCUCGGGCUUCGUCCAGAACCGGAUGCUCGCGGACGCCCGCAGGGCGUUUGACGCGAUGCCCGCGAGGAACUCCAUCUCAUGGGCGGCGCUCCUGACCGGCUACGCGCGGAGCGGGAGGGUCGUCGAGGCCAGGGAGCUCUUCGACCGGAUGCCGGACCGGAACGUGGUCUCCUGGAACGCGAUGAUGUCGGGCUACAUGCGCAACGGGAUGGUCGAGCAGGCGCGCGAGCUGUUCGACGCGAUGCCGUCGAGGAACGACGUCUCGUGGCUGACCAUGAUCUCCGGUUACAUCAGGAGGCGGCGUGUCCAUGAGGCGAGGGAGCUCUUUGACCGCGCGCCUUCCCCGUCGACGUCUGUCUGCAACGCGUUGCUGUCGGGUUACGUCGCGCUUGGUUGCUUGAAGGACGCCGAGGAGCUGUUUGUCCGGAUGCAGAGACGGAACCCUGUCUCGUGGAAUGUUAUGAUCACAGGCUACGCGCGGGCUGGGAGGAUGCAGGUUGCGCAGAGCCUGUUUGAUGAGAUGCCCCAGAAGGACACGAUAUCUCGGACAGCCAUUAUGCGUGGGUACUUGCAGAAUGGAGACGUUGAUGCUUCGUGGAAGGUGUUCGAGGAAAUGCCUGAUCGGGAUGCUAUUGCUUGGAACACAAUGAUCGGUGGUUUCGUGCAGAGCGAGAGGGUGGAUGAUGCGUUGAGAUUGUUUGCUGAGAUGCCAAAUAGGGAUCUCGUAUCUUGGAACACGAUCUUGCAAGGCUAUGUUCAACAAGGGGACAUGGCUAGUGCAAAUACCUGGUUUAGAAGAAUGCCAGAGAAAGAUGAGACCUCGUGGAACACAUUGAUCUCUGGGUACAAAGAUGAAGGAGCACUAGCUUUGCUGUCAGAAAUGACCAGAGGAGGACUCAGGCCAAACCAAGCCACUUUGAGCGUUGUUAUUUCUAUCUGCGCCUCUCUUGUUGCGCUUGGAUGUGGAAAAAUGGUGCAUCUCUGUGCAGUCAAAACUGGCUUUGAGCGUGAUGCUUUGGUAAUGAGCUCAUUGAUAUCUAUGUACUCAAAGUGUGGGCUAAUCGCUGAAGCCUCACAAGUUUUCGAAUUGAUGUUGCAGCGAGAUACAGUGACAUGGAAUGCCAUGAUUGCGACAUAUGCUUAUCAUGGUAUGGCUGCUGAAGCUCUGAAACUCUUUCACAAGAUGACUGAAGAUGGGUUUCGUCCAGACCAUGCAACCUUUCUUAGUGUAUUGUCUUCUUGUGCACACAAAGGCUAUUUAUAUGAAGGUUGUCGUUAUUUUAGAAGCAUGCAAGAAGAUUGGAACUUGAUUCCUAGGUCUGAUCACUAUUCCUGUAUGGUUGAUCUCCUAGGAAGAUCUGGUUUUGUACACCAAGCUUAUGCAUUCACAAGAAAAAUCCCAUCUGACCUUCAAGUAAAUGCAUGGGAGACACUAUUUAGCGCAUGUAAUGCUCACGGAGAUGUUCAGCUUGGAGAAGUCAUUGCAAAGAAUGUCCUUCAGGCGCAACCUUCUGAUGGAGGAAUGUAUACACUCUUGGCAAACUUAUAUGCUGCCAAAGAGAUGUGGAGCAGUGCUGCCAAUGUUAGAGGAUUCAUGAAAGAGCAGGGCUUAAAGAAGGAGACAGGGUGUAGUUGGGUUGAGCUGAAGGGGGAGGUUGUUUCCUUCUCAUCAAAUGACAAUACACAUCCCCUAAUUGAUCAGAUAUGCCAGGAGGUUGAUAACCUUUCUGUCAUGAUAGAAGGGGCGAUGUGAUAAGGUUAUGAAAAAUGGAACUCUGGCAGUCUGUGAGAUCAGUUGACGGCACUGUUGGCUCCAGAGUCCAAAAUUUGGGAAAACACUGUCUUUUUUUGUCAGGGGCCGGGGGUACGCCCAAAUGAGUUCUUGAAAGGAUAGGAUAGUGAUGUGUUGGAGCCUGUUCAAUUCUUUAGCGAUGACCCCUUCCAAGAUCGUAAUCAAGAAGUUAAAAACAAGACAGUGAGGUUCCAAAUUGGAGAUUUCCUACAAUUAGCAGUGGUGAUGGUGGUGGGAGCAUUUUCACUAUAUCAAGGAGGAAUUUAAGAACUUGGUUCCAUGUCUGCGCUGUCACUGGGGACCAGAGCACCCGUGACGUCUUCAGUGCAAAUUUCCCAAGCGAUUACACAGAACUCAUAGUGCAGUGAUUUCAGGCUAAAGAAGCUACAGAAUCAGCUUUUAAGGAUGGAAAACAGCUAUUGGUGAGUGACUGGACCGUCAUUCUUAUCACAUACUUGGCUUUACUUUUUUCUUUUCUCUUCUUUUUUGCCAGUGAUUUUGUAUAUAUCAUAUAAUACAGGAAAUAGAGUUUCCUACAGCAGGACUACAAUCUGUACCAGGUGAUGGCGAAGGUGGAAUCGAGAUGACAGGAAGCAUGCUUCUCAUUAGAGAAUUUUGUGAUCGCUUCGUACCUGCAGAGAAAGUUACCAGGACCAGAAUU
Molecule: non-coding RNA, 2783 nt
Organism: Triticum urartu
Lineage: Eukaryota; Viridiplantae; Streptophyta; Magnoliopsida; Poales; Poaceae
Source: RefSeq, a predicted model, not a curated record